Phacochoerus africanus (Common warthog) is the source of this 1586-nucleotide long non-coding RNA. RefSeq lists it as uncharacterized. The record is from RefSeq and is a predicted model, not a curated record. Lineage: Eukaryota; Metazoa; Chordata; Mammalia; Artiodactyla; Suidae. The transcript has 5 exons.
UAUUAUUUUAAAACUAUACAAUUUUGGGGGUGCUUGUAUUCAGCAACAUAUACAGAAAUUGGUAUCUGGGAUGGCAUGUUACAUAAAAUGCCAAAACCUAAGGCACUGGCUUUUAGGUUGGGUAGCUGGUGGAGACUGGAGGAGUGGCAAGUAGACUAUUAGUGGAGGACAGAGGGAUGGUGUGGUAGAAAGAUUAAUGCUCCCCCACCCUGAGAUGUCCAUAGCCUAAUCCCCAGAACCUAUGAAUGUGUCACCUUACCUGGUCAAAGGGACUUUUACAGAUGUGAUUAAGGAUCCUUAGGUGUGGAGAAUAUCUCAGAUUAUCUAGAUGGGCUGAAUAUAAACACAAGUGUCCUGAAAGUGGAAGAGGGCUACAUAAGAGGAGGUCAGAGUGAUGUGAAAUGAGGACUAGACCCACUGUUGCUGGCUUUGCAGAGGGAUGAGAGGAACCACAAGCCAGGGAAUGUGUGCAGCCUGUGGAAGCCAGAAGAGGAAAUGAAACAGAUUCCUCUCCAGACCCUCCAGAGAGGAAUGCCAUUCAGCAAACAUCUUGAUUUUGUUCCUGUGAGAUCAGUUCAGUGUUUGUUUCUAACCUAUAGACCUAUAUCAUAAUAAAUUUGUGUUAAGCCUGCUUGGUUUAGUGAUAUGUUACACAAACAGGAGAAAAAAAUAAUACAAAUGGUUGGGAGGCUAUUUACCAAAGCUUGAAGACUAGUGAACAAACUCUUAGUAGAGGGUAGAAAGGCAAUUAUUAAAUGCUGGAAAAUGUAGGACCUGAGUUAUAUGGUAACAGAAUGCUUGGCCUACUUUUGCCUGCCAUCACAUAAAGAUAGAAAAUGGGUUUAUAGAUCUCUUUUGAGUUUAUUGGUCUCAAGGAGGUUUCCAGGCAGAGUAGUGAAAGUACCAAGUGACUUUUUAUAACUACUGAUGAUAAUGUACAAGAAGGGACAAAUGACCUAUAGAAGGAACUAUUUGAUUUAAAAUAAGAAUUUAGAGGAAAUAUUUCCCACCCAGUCCUUGUCAUUUCUUAGGGAAAAGAAGAAUGACUGGUGAGCUGAGUCAUAAUUCCAGAGGGAGGAGCCAAGAAGCAAGAUGAGGAAUGGAUUAGGAAAUCAUCACCAGAGGGAUGAACUGAACCACAAUCAAAGACUAUCCCUUGCCUUCAGUAAAACUUGGACGGAGAGAAGCCAGUCCCAAGUAACCGUACCUGAGGUUUUCUCCAUGUUCUGGACCUGAUGUGGGUGAUGAUACUGAACUUAAACUGAUGUAAUCAUGAGAUGAAACUUUUAGGGCACAAGGUUUCUUAGGCAUCUACAUAAACAGCUCUAUCAUUUAUGAAUAGAGGCAAGUUUUUUUCCUUCUCACCCAGGACAAGAUGGCUGAUUAGAAAGACAUUUCCUGCAAGAGACCUGAUCUAGACAUAUCUACAUCAAGUCAGAAUGCUUGGGCACCAUCCAAAAGGGCAGAAAAUAUGUUCUGUGUUAUUAAAAAUGCCAGAAUGGAGGUACAAAGUAGUACAAAUUUACACAAGGAACUGGCGAUCCCAAGAAAUGGUUAAAAUAGGGUAACUAUAAAAAAAAAGUUAA